This 647-nucleotide ribosomal RNA is filed under the name Coccolithus braarudii. Its description in RNAcentral is "partial Bacterial large subunit ribosomal RNA". It matches the Rfam family "Bacterial large subunit ribosomal RNA", at positions 1976 to 2621 of the family's 2925-position model. The record is from RNAcentral. Lineage: Eukaryota; Haptophyta; Coccolithales; Coccolithaceae.
GUAAGUUCCGACCUGCACGAAUGGUGUAACCAUGGCCACGCUGUCUCCACCCGAGACUCAGUGAAAUUGAAAUCGCAGUGAAGAUGCUGUGUACCCGCACCUAGACGGAAAGACCCCGUGAACCUUUACUACAGCUUGGCACUGAACAUUGAACCUACAUGUGUAGGAUAGGUGGGAGGCUUUGAAGCACAGUCGCUAGAUUGUGUGGAGCCGUCCUUGAAAUACCACCCUUGUAUGUUUGAUGUUCUAACAUUGGUCCCUUAUCGGGAUUGUGGACAGUGUCUGGUGGGUAGUUUGACUGGGGCGGUCUCCUCCUAAAGAGUAACGGAGGAGUGCAAAGGUUGGCUCAGCACGGAUGGAAACCGUGUUUUAGAGUGCAAGAGCAUAAGCCAGCUUUACUGCGAGUCCGACAGGACGAGCAGUCUCGAAAGAGGGCUCUAGUGAUCCUGCGAUCGCGUGUGGAAGCGUCGUAGCUCAUCGGAUAAAAGGUACUCCGGGGAUAACAGGCUUAUCGCUCCCGAGCGUCCAUAGCGGCGGAGCGGUUUGGCACCUCGAUGUCGGCUCAUCGCAUCCUGGGGCUGAAGGCGGUCCCAAGGGUUAGGCUGUUCGCCUAUUAAAGCGGUACGCGAGCUGGGUUCAGAACGUCG